GUGGGGAAUUUUGGACAAUGGGCGAAAGCCUGAUCCAGCCAUGCCGCGUGCAGGAUGAAGGCCUUCGGGUUGUAAACUGCUUUUGUACGGAACGAAAAGACUCUGGUUAAUACCUGGGGUCCAUGACGGUACCGUAAGAAUAAGCACCGGCUAACUACGUGCCAGCAGCCGCGGUAAUACGUAGGGUGCAAGCGUUAAUCGGAAUUACUGGGCGUAAAGCGUGCGCAGGCGGUUAUAUAAGACAGAUGUGAAAUCCCCGGGCUCAACCUGGGAACUGCAUUUGUGACUGUAUAGCUAGAGUACGGCAGAGGGGGAUGGAAUUCCGCGUGUAGCAGUGAAAUGCGUAGAUAUGCGGAGGAACACCGAUGGCGAAGGCAAUCCCCUGGGCCUGUACUGACGCUCAUGCACGAAAGCGUGGGGAGCAAACAGGAUUAGAUACCCCGGUAGUCC
This 450-nucleotide ribosomal RNA is filed under the name uncultured bacterium. Its description in RNAcentral is "bacterial SSU rRNA". It matches the Rfam family "Bacterial small subunit ribosomal RNA", at positions 354 to 796 of the family's 1533-position model. The record is from RNAcentral.